Molecule: transfer RNA, 85 nt
Filed under: Felis catus (domestic cat)
Lineage: Eukaryota; Metazoa; Chordata; Mammalia; Carnivora; Felidae
Rfam family: tRNA
About the family: Transfer RNA (tRNA) molecules are approximately 80 nucleotides in length. Their secondary structure includes four short double-helical elements and three loops (D, anti-codon, and T loops). Further hydrogen bonds mediate the characteristic L-shaped molecular structure. tRNAs have two regions of fundamental functional importance: the anti-codon, which is responsible for specific mRNA codon recognition, and the 3' end, to which the tRNAs corresponding amino acid is attached (by aminoacyl-tRNA synthetases). tRNAs cope with the degeneracy of the genetic code in two manners: having more than one tRNA (with a specific anti-codon) for a particular amino acid; and 'wobble' base-pairing, i.e. permitting non-standard base-pairing at the 3rd anti-codon position.
Source: Rfam by way of RNAcentral
GCCUGGGUGACUCAGUGGGUUAAGCGUCUGACUUUGGCUCAGGUCAUGAUCUCACGGUUCGUGGGUUCGAGCCCCGCAUCAGGCU